This 974-nucleotide ribosomal RNA is filed under the name human gut metagenome. RNAcentral describes it as "bacterial LSU rRNA". It matches the Rfam family "Bacterial large subunit ribosomal RNA", at positions 1950 to 2925 of the family's 2925-position model. The record is from RNAcentral.
CCUAAGGUAGCGAAAUUCCUUGUCGGGUAAGUUCCGACCCGCACGAAAGGCGUAAUGAUUUGAGCACUGUCUCGACAAUGCAUCCGGUGAAAUUGAAAUACCAGUGAAGAUGCUGGUUACCUGCGCCAGGACGGAAAGACCCCAUGGAGCUUUACUCCAGCUUGAUACUGGGAUUCGGUAUUGCAUGUACAGGAUAGGUGGGAGACUAUGAAUUCACAACGCCAGUUGUGGAGGAGUCAUUGUUGGGAUACCACCCUUGCAGUAUUGGAUUUCUAACCAGCCACCGUGAUCCGGUGGUGGGACAAUGUCAGGCGGGGAGUUUGACUGGGGCGGUCGCCUCCGAAAGGGUAUCGGAGGCGCUCAAAGGUCUUCUCAGAAUGGUUGGAAACCAUUCGCAGAGUGCAAAGGCAUAAGAAGGCUUGACUGUGACACCGACGGGUGGAGCAGGUACGAAAGUAGGACUUAGUGAUCCGGUGGUAUAAAGUGGGAUUGCCAUCGCUCAACGGAUAAAAGCUACCCUGGGGAUAACAGGCUUAUCACUCCCAAGAGUUCACAUCGACGGAGUGGUUUGGCACCUCGAUGUCGGCUCAUCGCAUCCUGGGGCUGUAGUAGGUCCCAAGGGUUGGGCUGUUCGCCCAUUAAAGCGGUACGCGAGCUGGGUUCAGAACGUCGUGAGACAGUUCGGUCCCUAUCCGGCGUGGGCGCAGGAUAUUUGAGAGGAGCUGACCUUAGUACGAGAGGACCGGGUUGGACUGACCUCUGGUGUACCGGUUGUUCUACCAAGAGCAUGGCCGGGUAGCCAAGUCGGGAAGGGAUAAACGCUGAAGGCAUCUAAGCGUGAAGCCCCCCUCAAGAUGAGAUAUCCCCCACAUAAGUGGUAAGACCCCUUGAAGACGACGAGGUAGAUAGGUUAGAGGUGGAAGUGCAGUAAUGUAUGGAGCUGACUAAUACUAAUAGGUCGAAGGCUUAUCCAU